UACGUAGGUGGCAAGCGUUGUCCGGAUUUACUGGGCGUAAAGAGCGCGCAGGCGGUCGUUCAAGUCGCGUGUGAAAGCCCCCGGCUCAACUGGGGAGGGUCACGCGAUACUGAUCGACUCGAAGGCAGGAGAGGGUAGUGGAAUUCCCGGUGUAGUGGUGAAAUGCGUAGAUAUCGGGAGGAACACCAGUGGCGAAGGCGACUACCUGGCCUGUUCUUGACGCUGAGGCGCGAAAGCUGGGGGAGCAAACAGG
This 253-nucleotide ribosomal RNA is filed under the name uncultured bacterium. Its description in RNAcentral is "partial 16S ribosomal RNA". It matches the Rfam family "Bacterial small subunit ribosomal RNA", at positions 524 to 776 of the family's 1533-position model. The record is from RNAcentral.